RNAcentral lists this ribosomal RNA (253 nucleotides) under uncultured bacterium. RNAcentral describes it as "partial 16S ribosomal RNA". It matches the Rfam family "Bacterial small subunit ribosomal RNA", at positions 524 to 776 of the family's 1533-position model. The record is from RNAcentral.
UACGUAGGGUGCGAGCGUUAAUCGGAAUUACUGGGCGUAAAGUGUGCGCAGGCGGCCGCGCAAGUCGAGUGUGAAAGCCCCGAGCUUAACUUGGGAAUUGCGCUCGAAACUACGUGGCUGGAGUGUGGCAGAGGAAGGUGGAAUUCCACGUGUAGCGGUGAAAUGCGUAGAGAUGUGGAGGAACACCAAUGGCGAAGGCAGCCUUCUGGGCCAACACUGACGCUGAGACGCGAAAGCGUGGGGAGCAAACAGG